UGGGGAAUAUUGCACAAUGGGCGCAAGCCUGAUGCAGCCAUGCCGCGUGUAUGAAGAAGGCCUUCGGGUUGUAAAGUACUUUCAGCGGGGAGGAAGGGAGUAAAGUUAAUACCUUUGCUCAUUGACGUUACCGACAGAAGAAGCACCGGCUAACUCCGUGCCAGCAGCCGCGGUAAUACGGAGGGUGCAAGCGUUAAUCGGAAUUACUGGGCGUAAAGCGCACGCAGGCGGUUGAUUGAGUCAGAUGUGAAAUCCCCGGGCUUAACCCGGGAAUUGCAUCUGAGACUGGUCAGCGAGAGUCGUGUAGAGGGGGGUAGAAUUCCAUGUGUAGCGGGGAAAUGCGUAGAGAUGUGGAGGAAUACCGGUGGCGAAGGCGGCCCCCUGGACAAAGACUGACGCUCAGGUGCGAAAGCGUGGGGAGCAAACAGG
Molecule: ribosomal RNA, 429 nt
Filed under: Chloroflexota bacterium
Lineage: Bacteria; Bacillati; Chloroflexota
Description: Chloroflexi bacterium partial 16S ribosomal RNA
Rfam family: Bacterial small subunit ribosomal RNA
Source: RNAcentral